UUUUUAUUGUGGGUACUUUGCGAAAAAUUCAGGAAGGAGUUGGGGUUCUCUGGACUGGAAUUGGACCUAACAUUGCACGUAAUGCUAUGAUUAAUGCUGCUGAACUAGCCAGAUAUGAUCAAGUGAAGCAGACACUUCUGAAAAUUCUCGGGUUAAAGGCAAUGUUGUCACUCAUCUUUUUGCUGGUAUGGGGAUAAGUUUCUAUGCCAAUGAUUUUAUUUUAUUUUACUUAUUCAUUUUCGACUAUGCAUAUAUUUGAUCCUCUAUUUUCUUUUUUAUCGUAGAUUAUAUGGUUGAAAAGCUUGGCAUAGAGUUUGUUUUUGCAGGUCAGUGUGGAUUAAAGAUGGGCAGAUCUGGUACCUCUCCCUUAACAAUAAUGCAGGGUUAUUCCUAGUCCUUUUUCAUAUGACACAAGGACUAUGCUGAUAUAUGAUAGUGAAGACUGGGAGGAAGACUUUAGAACCUUAACCAAGGAUGCCCGCUCUGGUGUAAUGAUCCAAAGCUCAAGAAGCAACAUAAAUGAGUUGGAGUGGGAUUUUAGAGCUUGAGAAGCAAGUACUAUGGAUUACCUCCUUUCAGCAUGUGAGCUACCAAGUUUGAUUCAUGGGUCUAGCUAGCAGCUAGGAAUAGCUAGGGAUGCUUUUGAUUCAUGUGUAGGUAGCAGCUAGGAAUGCGUUCUUGUUUGAUAUAUUAUCUAGUAACUUGAAUGUUUGGAUGUUUGAAAAAUGCUACUUGAAUGAUAUGGAUUAGAGUGUGGUUUUAUAUGGUAAUAUGGAGCAUUAUUUUUGGGUAGA
This is a long non-coding RNA of Rosa rugosa (rugosa rose), 794 nucleotides long. RefSeq lists it as uncharacterized. The record is from RefSeq and is a predicted model, not a curated record. Lineage: Eukaryota; Viridiplantae; Streptophyta; Magnoliopsida; Rosales; Rosaceae. The transcript has 3 exons.